This 934-nucleotide long non-coding RNA is filed under the name Manacus vitellinus (golden-collared manakin). RNAcentral describes it as "lncRNA (ENSMVIG00005012289.1)". The record is from RNAcentral. Lineage: Eukaryota; Metazoa; Chordata; Aves; Passeriformes; Pipridae.
GAGGGAAAUUUUUUUUUCUUUUAAUGGGUUUUUAUUUAACAGAAAUCUCUGGUUUAAAAAAGGUCAUUGUUAGUUCGGAAUAGAGAACUACAAUAGUUCUUACCAGUUUAGAUUAACUGGUAAGAAAGACCACCAACCUCACAGGAUUGUUUUUGCGUCUGGAGAAAAGGUCAAAGGGAUGGAUGGGACUGCUACUCUGCAUAUUGGAACUCCAAGAAGUUCAUGGUAGAUCCCACACAAAUGCCCACAUUUUACAGGUAACACCUUCCAUGAAUACCUACAACCCAAAUGGUAUCUGAAGUGUGAUCUGAAAACUGAGUUUCUCUCUGAGGCAGCACAUCCAAGUAGUUUGUAUAUCUGUGGUGUUUGCCUUAUUGCCAUCCAGGUGGACAAAUCUCUCUUCCAGAUCAGCUCAAAUCUCCAUUUGUGCCAUGUGUUCUUCAAAAUACAGUUCUCUUCCACUCAUGCAUAUUGCAAGCAUUCAGAAGACUUCUCUGUAUGGUCUUUUGUAGACUGAUAUGACUGAGCUGUCAUGUAUGAGCUAAUGAACAAUGCAUGUGGAACAGCAGCCCAGAAAGACUUGCCGGCUUUAGCCAAAUGUCUUGAGGCUUAUUCAGGGAGUCUGUCACCUCUGUCUACCAAAUAGCUCAUCAUCAUAACCAAACUGGCAUGGUGAUAGUACACAGGACACAGCACUCUGAGGAGAAAACAGCUGGGAAAACUUUCAACAACAAAAAUGGCACAAGAUGAAAGCAACCUACCCUGCAAGUAUUAAUACAGAUUAUAACCUAGGUUGGAAGGAACCUCAAAAGAUUAUCUGGACAUUUUAUAGGGAAGAGAGCCCAGAUGAGACUAUCUAGCACCAUGUCCAAUCACACCUUUAAAACAUUCAGUGAUGGGGACUGUGCCAUGUCUCUGGGAACGUUGUUCAAAU